Molecule: transfer RNA, 76 nt
Filed under: Bifidobacterium panos
Lineage: Bacteria; Bacillati; Actinomycetota; Actinomycetes; Bifidobacteriales; Bifidobacteriaceae
Description: tRNA-Arg
Rfam family: tRNA
About the family: Transfer RNA (tRNA) molecules are approximately 80 nucleotides in length. Their secondary structure includes four short double-helical elements and three loops (D, anti-codon, and T loops).
Source: RNAcentral
GGGUUUGUAGCUCAGUGGAUAGAGCGUCUGUCUCCGGAACAGAAGGUCGUGGGUCCGAUUCCCAUCAAGCCCACCU